UCGACGAGACCUUCGGGUCUAGUGGCGCACGGGUGCGUAACGCGUGGGAAUCUGCCCUUGGGUUCGGAAUAACAGUUAGAAAUGACUGCUAAUACCGGAUGAUGUCUUCGGACCAAAGAUUUAUCGCCCAAGGAUGAGCCCGCGUAGGAUUAGCUUGUUGGUGAGGUAAAAGCUCACCAAGGCGACGAUCCUUAGCUGGUCUGAGAGGAUGAUCAGCCACACUGGGACUGAGACACGGCCCAGACUCCUACGGGAGGCAGCAGUGGGGAAUAUUGGACAAUGGGCGAAAGCCUGAUCCAGCAAUGCCGCGUGAGUGAUGAAGGCCUUAGGGUUGUAAAGCUCUUUUACCCGGGAUGAUAAUGACAGUACCGGGAGAGUAAGCCCCGGCUAACUCCGUGCCAGCAGCCGCGGUAAUACGGAGGGGGCUAGCGUUGUUCGGAAUUACUGGGCGUAAAGCGCGCGUAGGCGGCUUUGUAAGUUAGAGGUGAAAGCCCGGAGCUCAACUCCGGAACUGCCUUUAAGACUGCAUCGCUAGAAUUGUGGAGAGGUAAGUGGAAUUCCGAGUGUAGAGGUGAAAUUCGUAGAUAUUCGGAAGAACACCAGUGGCGAAGGCGACU
This 617-nucleotide ribosomal RNA is filed under the name uncultured bacterium. Its description in RNAcentral is "bacterial SSU rRNA". It matches the Rfam family "Bacterial small subunit ribosomal RNA", at positions 62 to 726 of the family's 1533-position model. The record is from RNAcentral.